Molecule: transfer RNA, 86 nt
Filed under: Candidatus Bathyarchaeota archaeon
Lineage: Archaea; Thermoproteati; Candidatus Bathyarchaeota
Description: tRNA-Ser
Rfam family: tRNA
About the family: Transfer RNA (tRNA) molecules are approximately 80 nucleotides in length. Their secondary structure includes four short double-helical elements and three loops (D, anti-codon, and T loops). Further hydrogen bonds mediate the characteristic L-shaped molecular structure. tRNAs have two regions of fundamental functional importance: the anti-codon, which is responsible for specific mRNA codon recognition, and the 3' end, to which the tRNAs corresponding amino acid is attached (by aminoacyl-tRNA synthetases). tRNAs cope with the degeneracy of the genetic code in two manners: having more than one tRNA (with a specific anti-codon) for a particular amino acid; and 'wobble' base-pairing, i.e. permitting non-standard base-pairing at the 3rd anti-codon position.
Source: RNAcentral
GCGGGGGUCGCCAAGCCAGGUCAAACAGCGUAGGGCUAGAGCUCCAGUCACGUAGGGGUUCGUGGGUUCAAAUCCCACCCCCCGCA